Long non-coding RNA from Ornithorhynchus anatinus (platypus), 529 nucleotides. RefSeq lists it as uncharacterized. NCBI's taxonomy places the organism in Eukaryota, Metazoa, Chordata, Mammalia, Monotremata, Ornithorhynchidae. The transcript is spliced from 4 exons. The record is from RefSeq and is a predicted model, not a curated record.
GCCUACUGAGAAUGUUAAAGGCAGGCAAAGACUGUAAAGGGUCACAGUUCUGGAGUGAUUGGAGCCACCUGUGCAGACAUUGGUAGACCAUCAGCUUCUAUUUGCUGGGUGAGAAGGAGAGUCCCAAAGACCUGCCUGAAAUGGGGGUGAGCUGUACAGCAAGAACCAGAGGAGGAGGUAGACUGAAGCUUGGAAUAGCCCCAUCUCCAUGGAGAAUUCUGGUGAAAAUGCUACAGCUGACCAGUAACUUUGAAGGGGGAAUACGGUGGCAACAAAAAGCAACAGAGACACAUGCUUGUGCCCCGAGGGAGAAUGGCCUGUGUAAACAGGAAGACGCUGCGUUCUGAAACGACAUCCAAAAACGGCUGCUAUGAAAGUGGGACAAUCCAGAGGAGGAUGCCAGCAGCGGCAGGUCUUUAGCAGAUAGCUGCGACCCAGUUUCCUGCACUUACGGCUUCACUAUAUUGGCGUUCUGGUUUCCCGCCCCUCUGCUGCAGCAGGAGAAGAUCCCACACCUUUUGGCAUUGGA